This is a long non-coding RNA of Antechinus flavipes (yellow-footed antechinus), 947 nucleotides long. RefSeq lists it as uncharacterized. NCBI's taxonomy places the organism in Eukaryota, Metazoa, Chordata, Mammalia, Dasyuromorphia, Dasyuridae. The record is from RefSeq and is a predicted model, not a curated record. The transcript is spliced from 2 exons.
CUCUGCAAAUCUGGAGAUCCCCUGUCUAGAAGUAAGGGGUGGGAUCGAAGUGGGGGGGAACCGCCCCUCUUUGCAGAGGCAGUACCCCGGAAGUCCUGAGAGGGACUCCUUGGCGCUGCCCCACCUUUCCUUGGACCCAUUCCGACUACACCCCCCACCAGCGGCCCAAGUCACCCUCACCGAUCAACCUGGAUAAUGCCCGACGGCUCAGGAAGCAGGGCGCCUCCCUCUCUCUCCCCCACCCCCCGCAGGCAGCGGCCCAGCGCAGCCCAGCCCUGCCCAGCUCAGUUCUUAUGCAGAGUUCUUAUCCUCAUUUCGGAGAAAAGAAAAACAAGAACUAAAAAGAAGUGACUUGUCUUCUGUCAUUCAGCUAAUCCCAGGACUUCUUACUCUCCAUCCUGGGUACUUUUUGCUGUACCACACCAGCUCUGCAAAGUUUGUUUGAUCCCCUCCCCCAAAUCUUUUGGCCAUAAAAGAGCUCUCUUAAGUGAAGAUAAGAGUGGACACUCUCUCCAACUUCCCCUGCCUCCUCCAAUGAGUUAUCAAACAGCCAUCAGCCUUUCUGAAGCACUUACACACCACACCUGAUUAAUAUCUAUCACUCCCUUAAGCUGGAGUUCCAUGGGCUCCCUUGAGAAAGGGAAACAUUUGUUUUUCCUCUUUUUGAUUUUUUUUUUUUAAUGGAUGCUUUUUCAUAAUGUCACUGACACUUCAAAAUGAUCCUCCAUGGAACUCUUCUCUUGUGACAGAUAAACAGUCAGGCAAACCAGAUCCAUUCAUUGGCUAUGUCUGGAAAUAUAUGCCUAGUUCUACACUGUUUGUUGCCCAGACUCUCUCUUCCUAGAAGUUGGAGGCAUAUUUUACCAUCAAAUCCUCUGGAGUUAUGAGUGACCAUUUUAAUUAGAAUUUAAAAGAUUUUUUUAGAAAAAUAAAUGUUUAAUAUAUUG